This is a long non-coding RNA of Microtus oregoni (creeping vole), 1731 nucleotides long. RefSeq lists it as uncharacterized. Lineage: Eukaryota; Metazoa; Chordata; Mammalia; Rodentia; Cricetidae. The record is from RefSeq and is a predicted model, not a curated record. The transcript is spliced from 6 exons.
UUACAGAAGCUUCUCAGUCUGGACAGCCAUCAGAAAGAAGUGGCUAUGCCACACCCCACUUCUCAGGUAUUGAUUCAGUGUCUGUUGUGGACCCAGAUAUCUAACAUUUUAAUAAGCAUGAUUUAGUGUCUGUCGUGGACACAGAUAUCUACCAUUUUAAUAAGCACUCCCUGCAAAUGUGAUGCAGUAAUGCAUGGCCCUUUCGGGGAAAUGGUCUGAUGGGGAUGGCGUCCAUUUCAGUCCGGGUCAUUUAAAGGAACCCAUGCAGACUUCUGUCAUCUGGGGAGUCUAUGAAUGUCAUUGUUCUACAGUGUGCUGCACUAUGCUGCUACCUGCUCAACAGGAUGUGUUCCUACAAGGCAUCACAGACCAGCUACUGGUCACACGGAUGGGAAGAGAAAAGGAAAUGACUGACCUGAAGAGAACUGACAUUGACAACCUUGAAAAGGAACAAACUUGGAAGAUGAACACCUGACUCCCAAACUCCUUAUAAACAUAGAGAAAUGAAGACAGUGUGCCUCAUUGGAAGUCUGUGCACCAUCUGAGUGAAUACCUAUUGCUCACAGAGGACACCAGAGUUUGAGAUCUCUCAGAACUGGAGUACAGACAGUUGUGAAUCAUCAGCUUGGGUCUAUGUUAACAUCCAUGGUCCACGCUGCCACCAAAGGGCACACAGGAGCCUGGAGUCUGGGCUGUGUCCUCUGGCCUUGUUGGGAUCUGAGCGCUGUGUUGCCAUUGGAGUGACAAUGAUCUGAGAGACCCGAGCUGCCAACCUGGGCCAUGGUGUUGUCCAUGCCUGAGCUGCUGACCAGGGCCAUAUCUGUGACCCAGCAGUAGCCAGGGUCUUUGUCUUCCUGACUCCUGUUACCAUUGAAGGCCAUGCGGAUGCCUGAGGUGUGGGCCACCACCUGAGGCCACGUUGGUGUCCAAAGGCUUUGCUGCAGCUGGUGCCAUCCUGAUCUGUGUGGUCUGUGAAACCACCCGGGAAAUGGUGACAUCAAGGACGAGUUGUUGCCAGGAUCAUGUUGGGUCUAUGGUCCUACCAGAGCUAGGAUAUUUGACUCCAGAAUGAACUCUCUUCUUCCUUCGAGUGUAAACAUAAAGGGAAAUAUCUGCAACCCAGAAGCAGGAGUUUGUAUGGAAGAACCCAGUGUGCUGUGAUGUCUGCCAGACCGGACAGAACAUUGGGACAAAAGGGUGAGUUAGAUCCCUUCCCCCAUCCUUAUCCAUUCAAUAUAAUAACAAUACCUCAUCUUCUGUUCAUUAGCAAUCCUGAGGUUAAACAUGAUCCUGUGUGCAUAAAUGCCUUCUCAUCUCAGCUGGAUAGAAAGACCAAAGCACUUUGGAGUAAGUAUGUUACAGCAGCUAUCCAAGAUCUCCCUGAUAAGAGCUAGAGAGUGGAACUCAAACAUUGUGAUUGCCUGCGAGUCUAACCCUAUUUGAUAUUAUUGUAAUUAUAGCUCCUUCACAAUCACCCCUUGUAAGAACAAAAUCUACAAUACAUUUACUCUAUGUCUAUAGAGGACCACAUCACAUCACUAUGCUUCCUGCUUAAAACAUCACACAGAACUGAGAGAUAUUAAGAGGAAAAUGAAAUUUGUGUUUUGUUUAAUCAUUUUCUGCAUUGAUUUUAUUUUUCCUUCUUCCAGAUAUUUCUAUGUUUCCUCUAUAUGUAGGGAUAGGUCCCGCCCCUUGGGGGGCGUGUUCGCCUCGGGCUAAUGUCUGCCUAUA